Long non-coding RNA from Lycium barbarum (goji berry), 899 nucleotides. RefSeq lists it as uncharacterized. Lineage: Eukaryota; Viridiplantae; Streptophyta; Magnoliopsida; Solanales; Solanaceae. The transcript has 3 exons. The record is from RefSeq and is a predicted model, not a curated record.
CCGGAUUAACUAUGAUAAUUUAAGGCCAAGGUUAUUCCGGGAUUUGAAGUCGGGACUUUUGACCAUUUGAUUUUAUUCGGAGACAUAAGUUAUAUAUGAAAUUGUUGGUAUUUGAACACUUAGGAGAAAUUGAGACCACAAUUCAUAAAAUUGGAAUUUAAAAUGUGGUGCAAAUGCCUUGGUGUCCGUGUGAAUUAAAAAGGGGUCCCACACAUUGUGUGGCCAAUUUUAAUUGGUCCAACACAUUGUGUGGGCCAAAGUCACUAAGAAAUAUUUUGGUAUACUUUUAAAAGAUGAAGACCAAGUCUUCUUUUAUCAUUUGGCUCAUUUUAACACUUAGAAAAUAAAAGAGAGAGAGAGCACCAAGCCAUGGAGGCUUUCGGCUGAACCAAGGGAAAACCAACCCCAUUUUUAACUUCCCUUAAAAUUAUUUCCUUGGUGUUAACCCACUAUAUUGAGGUCCCUAAGUAGCGUGGAAGAGUUGUUUGGGUCAUCCAACCAUUAGUUGUACCCAUUUGCAAACCCUAGCUAUUUGGUGGAUUGAAGAAAAGAGACCUUGGGGAGCCCGAGGCGUACAUUCGGGUUAGCUUUAGAUUGGCUAUCUUGGAAGUGCGUUCGAGGUACCGACGCACAGUUUGGUGAUCCACCGCUUUAGGACACCCCUUUUGCUGUUGGAGUGCUCUUCUCCUUUCAGAGCAUACCUUUUGGUAUAUCUUUUGUUCGCUAUGUUUGUAUAUAUUCGUUCAGGGGUACGGCGGGGCCCUGUCCCGCCAUAUGAUUCGUUUGGUCUGUUUAGAGGUCUGUAGACUUAUUUGUGGGUGUGUGUGCCUACUUCUGUACAGCUGUGUCCAUAUGAUCUCUUUCGUUAUGGCAGCCUUGUCGGCGUGAAUUUUGUAUAU